Molecule: ribosomal RNA, 594 nt
Filed under: uncultured Bacteroidota bacterium
Lineage: Bacteria; Pseudomonadati; Bacteroidota
Description: bacterial SSU rRNA
Rfam family: Bacterial small subunit ribosomal RNA
Source: RNAcentral
CAACCUGCCGUCUACUCUUGGACAGCCUUCUGAAAGGAAGAUUAAUACAAGAUGGCAUCAUGAGUCCACAUGUUCACAUGAUUAAAGGUAUUCCGGUAGACGAUGGGGAUGCGUUCCAUUAGAUAGUAGGCGGGGUAACGGCCCACCUAGUCUUCGAUGGAUAGGGGUUCUGAGAGGAAGGUCCCCCACAUUGGAACUGAGACACGGUCCAAACUCCUACGGGAGGCAGCAGUGAGGAAUAUUGGUCAAUGGGCGAGAGCCUGAACCAGCCAAGUAGCGUGAAGGAUGACUGCCCUAUGGGUUGUAAACUUCUUUUAUAAAGGAAUAAAGUCGGGUAUGUAUACCCGUUUGCAUGUACUUUAUGAAUAAGGAUCGGCUAACUCCGUGCCAGCAGCCGCGGUAAUACGGAGGAUCCGAGCGUUAUCCGGAUUUAUUGGGUUUAAAGGGAGCGUAGAUGGAUGUUUAAGUCAGUUGUGAAAGUUUGCGGCUCAACCGUAAAAUUGCAGUUGAUACUGGAUAUCUUGAGUGCAGUUGAGGCAGGCGGAAUUCGUGGUGUAGCGGUGAAAUGCUUAGAUAUCACGAAGAACUCCGAUU